AAAUUGAAGAGUUUGAUCAUGGCUCAGAUUGAACGCUGGCGGCAGGCCUAACACAUGCAAGUCGAACGGUAACAGGAAACAGCUUGCUGUUUCGCUGACGAGUGGCGAACGGGUGAGUAAUGUCUGGGAAACUGCCUGAUGGAGGGGGAUAACUACUGGAAACGGUAGCUAAUACCGCAUAACGUCGCAAGACCAAAGAGGGGGACCUUCGGGCCUCUUGCCAUCGGAUGUGCCCAGAUGGGAUUAGCUAGUAGGUGGGGUAACGGCUCACCUAGGCGACGAUCCCUAGCUGGUCUGAGAGGAUG
This 305-nucleotide ribosomal RNA is filed under the name Escherichia coli. RNAcentral describes it as "partial 16S ribosomal RNA". It matches the Rfam family "Bacterial small subunit ribosomal RNA", at positions 1 to 302 of the family's 1533-position model. The record is from RNAcentral. Lineage: Bacteria; Pseudomonadati; Pseudomonadota; Gammaproteobacteria; Enterobacterales; Enterobacteriaceae.